This 90-nucleotide non-coding RNA is filed under the name Acidovorax sp. Its description in RNAcentral is "Glycine sequence". It matches the Rfam family "Glycine riboswitch aptamer". From Rfam's summary of the family: This family represents the bacterial glycine riboswitch. Glycine riboswitches usually consist of two metabolite-binding aptamers domains with similar structures in tandem. The aptamers cooperatively bind glycine to regulate the expression of downstream genes. Lineage: Bacteria; Pseudomonadati; Pseudomonadota; Betaproteobacteria; Burkholderiales; Comamonadaceae. The record is from RNAcentral.
CCUUAUCUUGCGGGAGAGAGGGGCGGCACCGCCCCCGCCGAAGGCGCAAACUCCCAUCAUCGCUCAGGCACACCGGACCGCAAGAGACCA